Pseudomyrmex gracilis is the source of this 966-nucleotide long non-coding RNA. RefSeq lists it as uncharacterized. The record is from RefSeq and is a predicted model, not a curated record. The transcript is spliced from 4 exons. Lineage: Eukaryota; Metazoa; Arthropoda; Insecta; Hymenoptera; Formicidae.
GUGCUAACCAGUUACGUAGUGUGAAAAACAUCUCAAUAAAAAUAGUGAAAUUGAAUGAACACAAAAAUACACUUUACAAAACAAUAAUUAAAAGAAAUUCUUUCUGACACACAACAUAAUUAAUAUAAAAUUGUGAGAUUACAUUUAAAAUAUUAAAUUUCAAAAACUUGAUUAACUUAAAAGUGAGUCGUUAUGAGAUAUAAACAUAUCGUUCUCGAUGAUGCAUUGUUAAUUACAACUAUUAGCUUACUUUUCGGACUCAUGUACUACUUCAAUCAAGACAAAUGUCCUGUUGGUACAUUUCUUUGUAAAAACAGUAUUAUAUGCAUACCACAACGUAGCUGGUGUAAUGGUGUGCCAGAAUGUCCACAUGAUGUCCGAAUGAUGAUGAGUUUACAGAAAAUUGUUAUACAAUUGCCGAGCCAGCUGAGUAUGAAAUCGUAGCCAACGACACAUGUCGUGUGACUUGUACGAAUCAUAUUGAUGUGCCGCACGAGUUGUCAUCAAACGUGACAGAGAUUUAAGUAUACUUCCAAACAGUAUCAAAAACUAAAAGACAAAGAAAAAUGUUUUAAACGAAGAAAAAUCAUUAGAAAUUAUUAUCUAAAAAAGAGAUAUUUUUUAUUUAAAAUAAAAAAAAUUUAGAUAAGGUAGGUUAUUGAGGUGUCACCUCGAGCUUUCUUUGGAAAAUCCAAUAUAAAAUUUGAAGUAAAACGGCUAUAUGGAGCCUUUGCGGGAUGUUAUGUAGUAAAGAUUUUUUGGAAACAAAAUUUUUGCCAAAACGUUUUGACUUUAUUUGAAGUCCUUAUCAAUUGAUCAAUAAAAAGAUGAUAAAAUUGUAUGAGAAUUAAAAUGUAUACGCAUCACGUUACAAUGUCACUAAGAAGUCUAAUAUAGAUACGAACUUAAUCGAGUUAAAAUAGCUGAGUAUUUUGAACGUCAUAUAAAGGUGAAUUCAGUACUGAU